RNAcentral lists this ribosomal RNA (1076 nucleotides) under Sutcliffiella horikoshii. RNAcentral describes it as "bacterial SSU rRNA". It matches the Rfam family "Bacterial small subunit ribosomal RNA", at positions 1 to 1065 of the family's 1533-position model. Lineage: Bacteria; Bacillati; Bacillota; Bacilli; Caryophanales; Bacillaceae. The record is from RNAcentral.
GCCCUCCUCGAUAUUUAAAUAAUGCUGCGGGUCUAUACAUGCAGUCGAGCGGACCUUUUAAAGCUUGCUUUUGAAAGGUCAGCGGCGGACGGGUGAGUAACACGUGGGCAACCUGCCUGUAAGACUGGGAUAACUUCGGGAAACCGGAGCUAAUACCGGAUAAUAUAAGGAACCUCCUGGUUCUUUAUUGAAAGAUGGUUUCGGCUAUCACUUACAGAUGGGCCCGCGGCGCAUUAGCUAGUUGGUGAGGUAACGGCUCACCAAGGCGACGAUGCGUAGCCGACCUGAGAGGGUGAUCGGCCACACUGGGACUGAGACACGGCCCAGACUCCUACGGGAGGCAGCAGUAGGGAAUCUUCCACAAUGGACGAAAGUCUGAUGGAGCAACGCCGCGUGAGCGAUGAAGGCCUUCGGGUCGUAAAGCUCUGUUGUUAGGGAAGAACAAGUGCGAGAGUAACUGCUCGCACCUUGACGGUACCUAACCAGAAAGCCACGGCUAACUACGUGCCAGCAGCCGCGGUAAUACGUAGGUGGCAAGCGUUGUCCGGAAUUAUUGGGCGUAAAGCGCGCGCAGGUGGUCCUUUAAGUCUGAUGUGAAAGCCCACGGCUCAACCGUGGAGGGUCAUUGGAAACUGGGGGGACUUGAGUGCAGAAGAGGAAAGUGGAAAUUCCAAGUGUAGCGGUGAAAUGCGUAGAGAUUUGGGAGGAACACCAGUGGCGAAAGCGACUUUCUGGUCUGUAACUGACACUGAGGCGCGAAAGCGUGGGGAGCAAACAGGAUUAGAUACCCUGGUAGUCCACGCCGUAACGAUGAGUGCUAAGUGUUUAGAGGGUUUCCGCCCCUUUUAGUGCUGCAGCUAACGCAUUAGCACUCCGCCUGGGGGAGUACGGUCGCAGACUGAAACUCAAGGGAAUUUGACGGGGCCCGCACAAGCGGUGGGAGCAUGUGGAUUAACUCGAAGCACGGCGAGAACCUUUACAGGUCUUUGACAUCGUCUGACCCUCCUAAAGAAUACGGAACGUUCCCGUUCCGGGACCUGACUGACAGGUGGCUGCAUGGAAUGUUGCGUUCAAGC